This 440-nucleotide ribosomal RNA is filed under the name uncultured bacterium. Its description in RNAcentral is "partial 16S ribosomal RNA". It matches the Rfam family "Bacterial small subunit ribosomal RNA", at positions 338 to 795 of the family's 1533-position model. The record is from RNAcentral.
CCUACGGGAGGCAGCAGUGGGGGAUAUUGCACAAUGGGGGAAACCCUGAUGCAGCGACGUCGCGUGGGUGAAGAAGCGCCUCGGCGCGUAAAGCCCUGUCAGCAGGGAAGAAAAUGACGGUACCUGAAGAAGAAGCCCCGGCUAACUACGUGCUAGCAGCCGCGGUAAUACGUAGGGGGCAAGCGUUAUCCGUAUUUACGGGGUGUAAAGGGGGCGCAGACGGCGAUGCAAGCCAGGAGUGAAAGCCCGGGGCCCAACCCCGGGACUGCUCUUGGAACUGCGUGGCUAGAGUGCAGGAGGGGCAGGCGGAAUUCCUGGUGUAGCGGUGAAAUGCGUAGAUAUCAGGAGGAACACCGGUGGCGAAGGCGGCCUGCUGGACUGCAACUGACGUUGAGGCCCGAAAGCGUGGGGAGCAAACAGGAUUAGAUACCCCUAUAGUC